UUGGGCGUAAGCGCGCGCAGGCGGUUUCUUAAGUCUGAUGUGAAAGCCCACGGCUCAACCGUGGAGGGUCAUUGGAAACUGGGGAACUUGAGUGCAGAAGAGAAAAGCGGAAUUCCACGUGUAGCGGUGAAAUGCGUAGAGAUGUGGAGGAACACCAGUGGCGAAGGCGGCUUUUUGGUCUGUAACUGACGCUGAGGCGCGAAAGCGUGGGGAGCAAACAGGAUUAGAUACCCUGGUAGUCCACGCCGUAAACGAUGAGUGCUAAGUGUUAGAGGGUUUCCGCCCUUUAGUGCUGCAGCUAACGCAUUAAGCACUCCGCCUGGGGAGUACGG
This 332-nucleotide ribosomal RNA is filed under the name Bacillus sp. (in: firmicutes). RNAcentral describes it as "bacterial SSU rRNA". It matches the Rfam family "Bacterial small subunit ribosomal RNA", at positions 554 to 885 of the family's 1533-position model. The record is from RNAcentral. Lineage: Bacteria; Bacillati; Bacillota; Bacilli; Caryophanales; Bacillaceae.